AGCAUGUUAGCUCAGGGGAAGAGCGCCGGGCUCAUAACCCGGAGGUACGUUUCACCGAAACCAGGUUUCCCAUUCGAACAUCAAACUAACUCACAAUAGGACCCUGGAUCGAAACCAGGACAUGCUA
RNAcentral lists this transfer RNA (127 nucleotides) under Penicillium vulpinum. It matches the Rfam family "tRNA". Rfam says of the family: Transfer RNA (tRNA) molecules are approximately 80 nucleotides in length. Their secondary structure includes four short double-helical elements and three loops (D, anti-codon, and T loops). The record is from Rfam by way of RNAcentral. Lineage: Eukaryota; Fungi; Ascomycota; Eurotiomycetes; Eurotiales; Aspergillaceae.